Molecule: long non-coding RNA, 595 nt
Organism: Limulus polyphemus (Atlantic horseshoe crab)
Lineage: Eukaryota; Metazoa; Arthropoda; Merostomata; Xiphosura; Limulidae
Exons: 3
Source: RefSeq, a predicted model, not a curated record
AAAAAGGACAAAAAACAUACUUUUAAAUAUUAUUUUUAUUUUCCCCUGAGCAUAGCCUAGUGGUUAGCAUAUCAGUCUUAGGAACUGAGACAUCGUUCUACCAUUUCACAUUUUCAGUUGGGUGCAUUAUAAGAGUAACAGUCAAUCCUACUAUUUGGUCAAGAGUAAUCACUUAAAGUGACUGGUGCUGCCGAAUAGUUCCUUUCUUUCUGGUAUGCUGUUCAAAAUUAGUGAUGGCUAUGUUUGAAUCUCGCGGGUCUCUGACCUGGCUUUUUAGUACAUUGUGUGUAUAAUGUGUCAUCCAGGUAUACAAACAAUCCCUUUUUUUGCAUGAGAACAUAUGUAUCUGCUUAAAAACUUUGUAUUAAUUUUUAACAAAUUUUAGAUUUUAAAUCUAAUCAAAAACACCAUAGGUGUGAGAAAAAGGUGCGGUCAAAAAAAAAAAAAAAGAAUGAGCGAGCGACUUAAAAGAACGAAAUCAAAAUUGGCGGCCAAACUAGUAGCUACACUUGUAGCAAAUACUCAUUCAUUAGUUAGCCAGGCCACACUUUUUGUUCAACUUGUGGCAUGAUGGUGGGUAAAAAAAAAUAAGCAG